Molecule: ribosomal RNA, 274 nt
Filed under: uncultured bacterium
Lineage: Bacteria
Description: partial 16S ribosomal RNA
Rfam family: Bacterial small subunit ribosomal RNA
Source: RNAcentral
AUACGGAGGGUGCGAGCGUUAAUCAGAAUUACUGGGCGUAAAGCGUACGUAGGCGGUUGGUUAAGUUAGAUGUGAAAGCCCCGGGCUUAACCUGGGAACUGCAUUUAAAACUGGCGAACUAGAGUUGAGUAGAGGGGAGUGGAAUUUCAGGUGUAGCGGUGAAAUGCGUAGAGAUCUGAAGGAACACCAGUGGCGAAGGCGACUCCCUGGACUCGAACUGACGCUGAGGUACGAAAGCGUGGGUAGCAAACGGGAUUAGAAACCCUAGUAGUCC